Molecule: long non-coding RNA, 8031 nt
Filed under: Sus scrofa (pig)
Lineage: Eukaryota; Metazoa; Chordata; Mammalia; Artiodactyla; Suidae
Description: lncRNA (ENSSSCG00055005155.1)
Source: RNAcentral
UCUGCUCUCCAUGUCCCUGAUUUGUUUCUGUAGAUAGGAUCAUCUCUGCCAUAUUUUAAAUUCCACAUAUAAGUGAUAUAUAGUAUUUGUCUUUCUCUUUCUGACUUAGUAUGAGAACCUCUGGUUGUAUCCAUGUUGCUGCAAAUGGCAUUAUUUUGCCCUUUCUUAUGGCUGAGUAGUAUUCCAUUGUAUAUAUAUACCACAACUUCUUAAUCCAUUCAUCUGCUGAUGGACAUUUAGGUUGUUUCCAUGUCUUGGCUAUUGUGAAUAGCGCUUCAGUGAACAUAGGGAUCUAUAUCUAGGAGUGGGAUUGCUGCAUCCUGUGGGAGUUCUAUAUUUAGUUUCCUGAGGUACCUCCAUACUGUUUUCCAUAGUGGUUGUACCAGUUUACAUCCCCACCAACAGUGAAGGAGGAUACUCUUUUCUCCACAUCCGCUCGAGUAUUUGUAAUUUGUUGACUUGUUAAUGGUGGCCAUUCUGACCAGUGUGAGGUGAUACCUCAUUGUAGUUUUGAUUUGCAUUUCUCUAAUAAUUAGUAAUGUUGAGCAUUUUUUCAUGUGCCUAUUGGCCAUCCAUACAUGUUUAAUUUGAAAGUAGUUGUACAGUUUGCAUUCACACCUGCAGUGUGUAUAAAAGUUGUUUUUGUUCUACAUUGUUACCAGAACUUAGUAAUGAGUCUUUCCUAGCAAAAGUAUAGUGGUAUUAGUAUUUUAUUGUGAUUUGAAUAUUUAUUUUCUUAAUUUCAAAUAAGAUGGAUUUUCUUUUUUCCCAUUGAUGGGCUAUUUUUUUUUUGCUUUUUAGAACCACACCCACGGUAUAUGGAAAUUCUCAGGCCAGGGCUUGAAUUGGAGCUACAUCUGGCAGCCUGUGCCACAGCCACAGCAAUGCAGGAUCUGACCACGUCUGUGACUUCUCAGAUGACUGAGUUUACUUCUGGGCUGCUCCUGGAUCCUCAACUAUAAAUUGUUAUGUUGUUGUUAGGUCUCCAAGGCCUUCAAGCAAAUUGUUUAAUUUUAUUUUAAAAAUUUUAAUUUUGUUUGUAUUUUUGCCAUGCUCAUAGCAUGCAGAAGUUCCCCGGCCAGGGAUCAAACCCCAGGCCACAGCAGUGACAACUGGCUACACCAUCCUCAGAUCCUCAACCCACUACACCAUCAGGGAACUCCUUGAGCAAAAGGUUUUAAAGUUUUUGCUUUUAAUUAUUUUUUGUCAAGUUUUUUUAGUUAAUCUUAGUCUUGGUCUUACUUUCCCAUUCCUGGAAGUAGAAUAAUUCAUUCCUGUAUUGUAGUUUGACUUUUAUGAAUCUGAUAGAUUUGGGGAUGUACAUCUAAAGCUUUACGGGUUAAUGUACAUUAUGGAAAAAAAUCUUUGUAAGUGAAGUGUCAUUUGCCUUGCAAACAAUGAUUUUUUUUUCAUAAUUUGUUCUGUUUGACAUGGAACAGGUGCUAGCAUCUAAUGCAGUCCUGUCACAGGGAAUAGAAGGUCUAGGUCACCAUGUUUGUUAAUUAAGUCCAGGAAAUUUUAUCUCUCCUGUGGCUAAUCAUUUAUGUUUGACAUGAAUCUGUCAUUUGUGCCUCUGGUUACCCUGCUUCUCCCUUCGUUCUGUGUAGCUUAUUUUUCACAUAGCAGUCAUAAUUUUUAAUCAUAAUUCAAUUUAUGUUCUCUGCUCAGGAUACUCUAAGGGCUUCUCUUAUAAUUCAAAAUAUGAUCCAAAGCCCUUAAAACAGCCUAUAAUAUCCUACCUGAUAUAACUCCAUGCUGCUUGUUUAACUUCACCUGAUACCUUUCCCCCUCUGUUCCCUCUGCCCUAUCUCUAGAAGUUGCCUUGCUUUUCCUGGAACACUUCGUGGGCUUUGCCCUUUGUGUUUUCUGUUCUAGAAUGCUUCUUCCCUUGAUGUCUACACAGAUUGCUGUUUCCCCUCUGUUAGGUCUCUGCUCAGUUAUGGUUUCAGAAAGAAUCCUUCCCUGAACACAUUGCAGAUAAUUGCAGCAUAUCUCCUGUAACUUUUUAUCCCCCUUAAUUUACCCUGUUUUUCUUUUUAUUUAUUAAUAUGAUAAUUAAUAUAGUUAUUUGUUUAUUUUCUGUUAUCCUGUCCUAGAAAGUACAUUCCAUGAGAGCAGGGACAUGCCUAAAACAGUGCCUGGCACACAGUAGACCUUCAAUUAUUACUAUAUUUUUAAUGAAUGAAUAUGUAGCCACUACAUUAUUUUUAUUUCGCACUUUAAGACUGUUCUAAAUUGGUGAGCUAAAUAGCUAAGUUGAACGACAGCAAAACGUAGAAACUUGUACCAACAGAGAUAAGACUGAGACUUUUUUGACAUAGUAGCAGAGCAGCUGUAAGUCCUGAGCACAUCUGGCCAUGAUGAUAAUGUUAAAGAUAUCUCUUUAUGUGGGAACAGUGAUCACAGGGCCUUGUCUUUCUGAUUUUAUAAACCAGUAAAUCCCAAAUUAGCAGUGGGUCGUAGAGGAAAGCUACUCCUUCUGUAUCUUAAAUCUCUACAAGGAUUUAAAAGCGUUACCUUUACUUAUUUAUUUAAUGGCCACACGCACAGCAUAUGGAAGUUCCCAGGCCAGGGAUUGAAUCCAUGCCGCAGCUGCAACCUACACGGAAGCAGAUACCUACGGAAACCCUGGAUCCUUUAACCCACUACCCUGGGCCUAGAGUUAAACACACAGCUCCACCACUACUCGAGCUGCUGCAGUUGGAUUCUUCACCCACUCCCAAUACAUUUAUUCUAAUUAAGCAUUUAUUGCUAAGAGAGCUUGUAUAAACACAUAUUUUAUUGAAUAAAAUAAUGUCUAAUGAGAAGUAGAAAAUUUGAAUUUGGCAUUUUUACAUAUCCAGUAUUUUGAUUGUUAAUAAAUGGAUGUGGAAAUGGACUUGUAAAAGGUUUAAUACAUUUAAUAUUUUAAACAGUGUUUUCAAAGUUAUUAGAGGGUAGUUUUGUAACUCUGUGUGCCUAUACCUUAACUCCUUUCCCUUUCACCAACAACAAAUCUCAGAAUAUGGUGUGGAAUAUAAGUUAUAUUUUUAUAAAUUACACAAGUAUUGUUUUUGCUUUUUAGGGUUGUACCCACAGCAUAUGGAAGUUCACAGGCUAGGAGUUGAAUUGGAGCUACAGCUGCCAGCUUAUGCCAUAGCCACAGUAACACAGGUUCUGAGUCGCAUCUGUGACCUACACCACAGCUCACAGCAAAACCGGAUCCUUAACCUACUGACUAAAGCCAGGGAUUGAACCUACAUCCUCAUGGAUCCUAGUUGGGUUCGUUAACCACUGAGCCACGAAAGGAACUCCCACAAGUAUUUUUUUUUUUUUUUGAGUUCUUCUUUAGACACAUCUGUUUAAGUACAACUGGUUUAAAACAGGACUGUAAUUAUUGCAGGGUUAGAGCUAAGUCUAUAUCAUGGGUACAACAGCUGCCUGUUUACUGAGUGUUUAGUACUAUGUGCCAUUGCUUAAAAUAUAUUAUCUGAUUUACUUUUCACAGUAACCUGUGAAACAAGAUACCAUAUAUUAUCUCCAUUCUAUAAAUGAAGAAACUUAGCAAGAUCAUAUGGCGAGUAAGUAAUUGAGCUGAGAUUUGAACACAGGUCUGUUUGACUCCAUUGUAAUAAAGCAUUCAAUGAAUAACUCCUGAUUUAGAGACAAAAUUAUUUCAGCAAUUGAUGUUCUAUGUAAAAUGGAAAAAAAGUCAGAAAUGAAUAUUGAUAUGUGGAAAACAUACGGUUGCCGAGCAAAUGUCUAUAUCAGUUUUACUUAUUGAGGACAAUCAAGCAUCAAAUUUUGCAUUAGAAUAUAAAACUUAAAGAUUCUGAACAAAUUAUAGUUCUUAUAUUUUGGGCAAAUACAAUUUUAUGUUUCUGUUAAAAUGUGCACUCUUUUUUUAUUGAAGUAUAGUUGAUUUACAAUAUUAUGUUAGUUUCAGGUGUACAGCUUAGUGAUUCAGUAUUUUUGUUAUGAUUAUUAUUAUUUUGUCUUUUUCUAGGGCCGCACCUGCAGCAUAUGGAGGUUCACAGGCUAGGGGUCUAAUUGGAGCUGUAGCCACAGGCCUACGCCAGAGCCACAGUAACAACGUGGGAUCUGAGUCAUGUCUGCAACCUACAUCACAGCUCACAGCAACGCUGGAUCCUUAACCCACUGAGCGAGGCCAGGGAUUGAACCCACAACCGCAUGGUUCUAGUCGGAUUCGUUAACCACUGAGCCAUGACAGGAACUCCUAGUCCACUAUAGGUCAUGACAAGAUAAUGGGUAUAAUCCCCUGUACUAUACAGUAAAUCCUUGUUGCUUAUCUAUUUUAUAUAUAGUAGUUUAUAUCUGUUAAUCUCAUAUCCCUAAUUUAUCCCACCUUACUUUGCUCUCCCCUUUGGUAACCAGCAGUUUGUUUCUGUAUCUGUGAGUCUUUCUGUUUUGCAGAUAUAUUCAUUUGUAUUGUUUUUUAGAUUUCCAUAUAUAAGUGGUAUCAUACAGCAUUUGUCUUUCUCUGACUUACUUCACUGAGGAUAAUAUUCUCUAUCCAGUUUGCUACAAAUCAGAGUAUUUCAUUCUUUUUUAUUCCUGAGUAGUACUCCUAAAAUGUAUUCUUAAUAAAGUAUGAACAUUUGUUCAAAGCCUAUUAUUAUGAAGUUCUGUGAUAGGUGCUGACUGUAAAAAACUCUUGUUAAGGCUCCUGUGGACAGACUUACAGUGAUGUGAGGGAGAAAGACUUGGAAACAAUGAGUUUAGCACCUUAGGUGCCUACAUAUUAGAAGCUUAUAAAUGGUGAUGAAUAUUGAAGGCUUAUUCACUAUGCAGUGUGAGCAUACAGUAUGUGGUAUUGAAUUUAUAUAGAUUAAUAGGGAAAUAUCCACAGUGAAAUACGUAUUUGAAUUAGGCCUUAAAAAAUGAUUAAAAUAACAGUGGAUAGUCUGAGUAAAGGGAAGUGUAUAUACAAUGACUACAUUCAGUAAGAUUAAAACCUAAAUAUAUUGCCCUGAAAGGUACUUUAUUUACCUCCUUUGUAGCUUUAAAAAAAAAAAAAGGCAUUUCAUUUAUAGCAUGGGUAGACUAUUCCAGUAAUGUUGUAUCAUGACCUUCAAGGGGAUCAUUGACAGAAUCAGGGCUUCUUAUUUGUAUUUUUUAAUCUUUGAGCAGUGGAAAUACAUAACCUAGCUGUACCGUAUAAAAUGUAGUAGAUCAACCAGGGUACUAUUUAAUCCUUAAAAGAGAGGAUUUGCCAAAUAUAUUGCCCUAAAAGAGUUAUUUCAUAAAACUACGAACUUUAUUUCCAAGCAGUCAUUUAGAAGCUUCAGGUAUCUAGUGAGCAUGAUCCAUUCUUAAGACUUUAAGGCAGUUCAGGAUGGAGUAGUGAUGAAGCAGGGAUUGGAGGCGGUAAAGUACAUGAUGAGAUACCUCAUACACGGGAUACCCAUAAAUGGUAAUGAACUAUAGAGGUCAGUUCCAAGUGCCAAUGGAGAGCAAAUAGCAAGUUGUUUUCUGUCUGUCUGCUUCUCUCCCUAGACCCUUGAUCCCAUCUUUUGCCUAUCUAGUAGAUGAAAUUAGAAACAGAGCUGUGGAUGAGACUGUAAUAUUUAGAUUAUAUGUGUUUAAAAAUUUUUAUGACUUUUCUUGUUGGUUAUUGUUGGAGGACAAACUGUGUUUUUAAAAAUGUAAAUUUAUUCUGAAAAUUUAGCUCAAAUUUACUUAGUAAUAUUUUACACUUUUUCUGGCAUUGGCAAUGAGCUUAUAGAUUUACUGUGUAUUGACUCUUAGAUAGUAACAUAGCAUCCUAAUAUCAGAUCCUGCAUCAAAAUUUGAGGCAGACAAUGUCCUUGCUCUUCUUAAUUAUAAUAGAUAAGGCUGGAAAGCCAGGAACACAAGUGAAGGUGGAUGAAUCUCUGAGGUGUGAGGUAAUAGAUCUGAAUUCUUGAACCACUCUUCUGAUGACAUCAGAUACACAGAUUUUUGUUUUUCGAAGGAAAAGCCUAAAGAUGUCUGCUGUCUGUGAAAAUGCAUGAUAAUAAUGAAUAAGUUGACCUCUUCAUACCAGAAGAUGCUUUGACUUAUUUUUUAAGCCUCUAAUUUUCGUUGUCCUCAGAGCCUUGGCAUGUAGAACUUUGAGGAAAGCCCAUGGCUUUAGUUAAGGCAACAUGCAUUCUUGUCACUUUUGUAUUGAAAUUAGGAAAAAUAAGCAGGGCAGUAUUUUAGGUUCUCUAUUCUGCUUCUUUCUUACGGGAAACAGUCUGCUUCAGUGCAUUUGUUCUCAUUUGCCAGUUGGAGGACCCGCUCUGUGGUGAAAAUAUCAGUGAGAGGUUGUCAACUAUGCCUUCUUCAGAAGGCUUGUUUCUUAUUUUGAGAUUGUCUUUCUUUUCCUUUUUUAUGUUAAUAUGCUUUUGUUUUAUAAAAUAAUACUAAUGGUAGACAGGGCUUUUAAAUAUGUAUCAUUUCUUAGAAAAUAAAAUGAUGCUAGCCACGAAGACCACCACUUGUGUGUGUGUGUGUGUGUGUGUGUGUGUGUGUGUGUGUGUGUGUGCAUCUUGUUUUGUCUUGUGAAAUCUGAAAGUCUGGAGAGUACUGAUGUAGUGGAUGGACCAUAGGCUUUGGAGUCAGCAGACCUGCUUUAAAUUUUUACUCUGCUGUGGUUCUUAUCUUUUUUAUUUCUAAAAGGUGAUGUGAAUGCCUGUUUCCUAUGGUUCUUGUGAGGAUUGACUGAGAUAAUGUAAAUAUAAAUAUAGUGCCAAGUGCAUAAUAGGAGAUGAAUAAAUUUCGUUUCUUGUCUUCUUUUUUAAGUAGUUAGGAGUAGAGGGAAUCUCAGGUAAGUUACCAGUUAAACUAAAUGGAAAUCCAAGAGGAAAAAUGAAGAAAGGAAAGGGCCUUGUCAGUCCACAGUUGGAUGACCCUCUUAGUAAAGGGAUAUGACAUAGUGCCUUGUACACAUUCGGGAUUUAAUAAAUAUUUUUUUUUUUUUUUUUUCCUUUUUAGAGCCACUCCUGCAGUGUAUGGAAGUUCCCAGGCUAGAGGUUGAAUCACAGCUGCAGCUGCUGGCCUAUGCCACAGCCACAGCAAUAUAGGAUCCAAGCUGUCUGUGAUCUACACCACAGCUCACUGCAACACCAGUUCCUUGACCCACUGAUCGAGGCCAGGGAUUGAACCCACAUUCUCAUGAAUCCUAGUUGGGUUCAUUCUCUUGAGCCACAAAGGGAACUCCCAAUAUGUAUUUGAUUUUAAAUUAUUUGAAAAUGUUGGGUAAGGGAGUUAAUAAAUGUUUGAAUCAUAAAACAAGAAAAAUAAAUCAAAUUUAGAGAAAAGUUGAAAGAUUUAAUUUUUCUUUUUUUAGGACCAUACCUGUGGCAUAUGGAGGUUCCCAGGCUAGAGGUGAAAUUGGAGCUGUAGCCUGUAGCCGCUGGCCACAGCCACAGACAGCAACACCAAAUCCAAGCCCCAUCUAUAACCUACACCAUAUUUCAUAGCAAUACUGAAUCCUUAACCCACUGAGCGAGGCCAGGAAUCAGACCUGCAUCCUCAUGGAUACUAGUCAAAUUCGUAUCUGCUGAGCCGCCAAGGAAACUCCUGAAAGAUUUAAAUAUAAAAGUUUGUUAUAAUAAAGUGAAUCAGGUAGUGAACAAAAUACUAUGGUGAUAACUCAUUUUUGCACUAAUAAGUCAUUUUGUGGAAUAUUAAAAGUACAUUUCCCCAAUCUCAUUAUUAUACUUAUAAUCAAUAUAUAGUUUAUAAUAAUUCAAAUAUGGUUUCUUUAUUGUUUAAAGUAUUUUUACACAUUAUGCCAUUGAUGUUUCUAACUAUGUACUAUGCAUAUUAAUAUUUUAUUAAGAUUAAUAGAUGAGAGAAAACUGAAGGCAAGAUGGUUAAGUGACUGCCAUGGUUAAUAAGUGAUAAUCAGAAUGAGAUGUUAAGAUAAUUGGUAUAGCGGUCUUUAAUUUUUGUUGCUAUUAUUUCUAAGACAACUUUAUUAGAACUUAGUGCAUUUUAAUUAUUUUACUUUUCUCUUUUGCCUUCUCUGAAACAUCUUAAUCCUUAUUCUUAUAAAUUCAAUGU